GACGAACGCUGGCGGCGUGCUUAACACAUGCAAGUCGAACGGAAAGGCCCUGCUUGCAGGGUACUCGAGUGGCGAACGGGUGAGUAACACGUGGGUGAUCUGCCCUGCACUUCGGGAUAAGCCUGGGAAACUGGGUCUAUUACCGGAUAGGAGCCAUUUUUAGUGUGAUGGUUGGAAAGUUUUUUCGGUGUAGGAUGAGCUUGCGGCCUAUCAGCUUGUUGGUGGGGUAAUGGCCUACCAAGGCGGCGACGGGUAGCUGGCCUGAGAGGGUGGACGGCCACAUUGGGACUGAGGGACGGCCCAGACGCCUACGAGAGGCAGCAGGGGGGAAGAUUGCACAAGGGGCGCAAGCCUGAUGCAGCGACGCCGCGUGGGGGAUGACGGCCUUCGGGUUGUAAACGCCUUUCGCUAGGGACGAAGCUUUUUGUGACGGUACCUAGAGAAGAAGCACCGGCUAACUACGUG
RNAcentral lists this ribosomal RNA (465 nucleotides) under uncultured bacterium. RNAcentral's name for it is "partial 16S ribosomal RNA". It matches the Rfam family "Bacterial small subunit ribosomal RNA", at positions 28 to 507 of the family's 1533-position model. The record is from RNAcentral.